UCCACAUCUGGCUGAGGUUUGAGCCCUUAACUACUUGAAUCUCUUCUCUUCCCUGCUUUUUUUUUUUUUAGCUCCUAUCAUUUUCACUGUCCUUCAACACUCAGUGCACUUCAAUGAAUAGAAGGAUGAUUCAUGAUGAAGGCUUUUAUGGCACUUCCAUAAACAGCUAACAAUGUUGAGAACUAUUCAAAUUAGUCUAAUUUGAUUAUUACUUUUUUGUUAAGGCAAUGCUGCAGAAAGUUCUUUAUUAAUGGUUGUAUAUAGUUCAACCUCCCCAUAUAUGCAUCUUUCCAAGUCUCUUUUUGGACUUGAAUUGACUUUUUUUGCUGAAGGCCUCCUAAUCAGAAAAAAUAUAGUGAAACAAACCAAAGUGAAAAAGCAUGUAACAUAUAAAAUGUACGUAAAAAACGAAAACCUUAAUUAUCUAUACAGUGGGAUGACAAUAUACUCAAGAAAACACUCAAAAGGGCAAGAAUUCAGAUUGUUUACAAAAACUGCAAUUUCUGAACUCCAUAUAUGCUGUAUGUGCAGAUCAAACAUCCCCAAUGGACAG
Molecule: unclassified non-coding RNA, 553 nt
Filed under: Hevea brasiliensis (rubber tree)
Lineage: Eukaryota; Viridiplantae; Streptophyta; Magnoliopsida; Malpighiales; Euphorbiaceae
Source: RNAcentral